RNAcentral lists this ribosomal RNA (465 nucleotides) under uncultured bacterium. Its description in RNAcentral is "partial 16S ribosomal RNA". It matches the Rfam family "Bacterial small subunit ribosomal RNA", at positions 28 to 507 of the family's 1533-position model. The record is from RNAcentral.
GACGAACGCUGGCGGCGUGCUUAACACAUGCAAGUCGUACGGUAAGGCCCUUUCGGGGGUACACGAGUGGCGAACGGGUGAGUAACACGUGAGUAACCUGCCCACAACUUUGGGAUAACGCUAGGAAACUGGUGCUAAUACUGGAUAUGUGCCCCUGCUGCAUGGUGGGGGUUGGAAAGCUCCGGCGGUUGUGGAUGGACUCGCGGCCUAUCAGCUUGUUGGUGGGGUAGUGGCCUACCAAGGCGGCGACGGGUAGCCGGCAUGUGAGGGUGACCGGCCACAUUGGGACUGAGAUACGGCCCAGACUCCUACGGGAGGCAGCAGUGGGGAAUAUUGCACAAUGGGCGCAAGCCUGAUGCAGCAACGCCGCGUGCGGGAGGACGGCCUUCGGGUUGGAAACCGCGUUCAGCAGGGACGAAGCUUUUUGUGACGGUACCUGCAGAAGAAGCACCGGCUAACUACGUG